CGGAAGGAAGUAGAAGGAGAAAAGAAAAGUAGAGAAAGUGGCAAGAAAGAAAAAUAAAAGAGAAGGAAAAGAAAGGGCAAAAGAAGAAGAACCACAAGAGAUCGAAUCUGGGGGCGCGUUCACCGCGAGAGGGCGGAGCGUGAAAGUGAAUCCAGAAAGAACCGUGUCAAAAUUGGCCGAGGAAUUUCAUGUUUUUUUCAGAAUGGGGCUUUUUUUUUUUUUUUUUU
RNAcentral lists this unclassified non-coding RNA (227 nucleotides) under Hevea brasiliensis (rubber tree). The record is from RNAcentral. Lineage: Eukaryota; Viridiplantae; Streptophyta; Magnoliopsida; Malpighiales; Euphorbiaceae.